CUUGACUAACAUGGCUCCGUUCUCUAAAAGAAGUUAUCCUGUAAUCUCUAAAAAUAAAAACAAAUAGAUUCAUGGGUUAGGAUAUUCAUCUAUCUUUUCGUAUCCCAUGUCUAAUCCUUUCAUUAUUUUUUUUGAAGCAUAGAAGCUCUCAACAAGCUUUUCAUCUUUCGAUAGUAUUUUCUUUGUGAUUGCUACCAUUCUAUCAUAAUAAUUGAUCAUCAUAUUAAACUCAGUCUUUAAGUUCAAUAACUCUGAUACAGUUGAUAAUACAAUGUAUAUUUCAUAUUCCGAUCAUAGUGGUUCAUCAGUAUCUCUCAACAUACAAUAGAAAUAAUCGCUGUCAGCUUUUGGAUCGUCCUCCACAUCCUAAUUAAAUUUAGGACUAGCAGCAUCUAUAACCAUGUCUACCAUUCUAUUUAUGUCUCUGUCCUGCUCAUUUCUAACCCUUGCAACUGUCUCCUACGUCUCCCCAUGCAGGUAUCAAUGCUUGUAAUUGGACAUAAAUCCACUUCUAUAUAAAUGGAUAGUCAUUGUAUCCCUAUCAAGUAUUUUUCUGUUGCCACAUAUCUUAUAAGGGCAAUGAGUCCAUUCUUGAUGUAAG
Molecule: long non-coding RNA, 601 nt
Filed under: Elaeis guineensis (African oil palm)
Lineage: Eukaryota; Viridiplantae; Streptophyta; Magnoliopsida; Arecales; Arecaceae
Description: long non-coding RNA (EGUI_LNC035593)
Source: RNAcentral